Molecule: ribosomal RNA, 496 nt
Filed under: uncultured bacterium
Lineage: Bacteria
Description: partial 16S ribosomal RNA
Rfam family: Bacterial small subunit ribosomal RNA
Source: RNAcentral
GAUGAACGCUGGCGGCGUGCCUAAUACAUGCAAGUCGAGCGAACGGACGAGAAGCUUGCUUCUCUGAUGUUAGCGGCGGACGGGUGAGUAACACGUGGAUAACCUACCUAUAAGACUGGGAUAACUUCGGGAAACCGGAGCUAAUACCGGAUGAUAUUUUGAACCGCAUGGUUCAAAAGUGAAAGACGGUCUUGCUGUCACUUAUAGAUGGAUCCGCGCUGCAUUAGCUAGUUGGUAAGGUAACGGCUUACCAAGGCAACGAUGCAUAGCCGACCUGAGAGGGUGAUCGGCCACACUGGAACUGAGACACGGUCCAGACUCCUACGGGAGGCAGCAGUAGGGAAUCUUCCGCAAUGGGCGAAAGCCUGACGGAGCAACGCCGCGUGAGUGAUGUAGGUCUUCGGAUCGUAAAACUCUGUUAUUAGGGAAGAACAUAUGUGUAAGUAACUGUGCACAUCUUGACGGUACCUAAUCAGAAAGCCACGGCUAACUACGU